Molecule: ribosomal RNA, 466 nt
Filed under: uncultured bacterium
Lineage: Bacteria
Description: partial 16S ribosomal RNA
Rfam family: Bacterial small subunit ribosomal RNA
Source: RNAcentral
UGGGGAAUUUUGGACAAUGGGGGAAACCCUGAUCCAGCCAUCCCGCGUGUGCGAUGAAGGCCUUCGGGUUGUAAAGCACUUUUGGCAGGAAAGAAACGUCGCGGGUUAAUACCCCGCNAAACUGACGGUACCUGCAGAAUAAGCACCGGCUAACUACGUGCCAGCAGCCGCGGUAAUACGUAGGGUGCAAGCGUUAAUCGGAAUUACUGGGCGUAAAGCGUGCGCAGGCGGUUCGGAAAGAAAGAUGUGAAAUCCCAGAGCUUAAACUUUGGAACUGCAUUUUUAACUACCGGGCUAGAGUGUGUCAGAGGGAGGUGGAAUUCCGCGUGUAGCAGUGAAAUGCGUAGAUAUGCGGAGGAACACCGAUGGCGAAGGCAGCCUCCUCGGGAUAACACUGACGCUCAUGCACGAAAGCGUGGGGAGCAAACAGGAUUAGAUACCCUGGUAGUCCACGCCCUAAACGAUG